AGUGAACGCUGGCGGUGGGCCUAACACAUGCAAGUCGAACGGCAGCACAGUAAGAGCUUGCUCUUACGGGUGGCGAGUGGCGGGCGGGUGAGGAAUACAUCGCAAUCUACUUUUUCUUGGAGGAUAACGUAGGGACACUUACGCUAAUACCGCAUACGACCUACGGCCGAAAGCAGUAGAUCUUCGCACCUUGCGCGUUUCUAUGAGCCGAUGUCGGAUUAGCUAGUUGGCGGGGUAAAGGCCCACCAAGGCGACGAUCCGUAGCUGGUCUGAGAGGAUGAUCAGCCACACUGGAACUGAGACACGGUCCAGACUCCUACGGGAGGCAGCAGUGGGGAAUAUUGGACAAUGGGCGCAAGCCUGAUCCAGCCAUACCGCGUGGGUGAAGAAGGUCUUCGGGUUGUAAAGCUCUUUUGUUGGGAAAGAAAAGCAGUAGGUUAAUAUCCCGCUGUUCUGACGGUACCUAAAGAAUAAGCAACGGCUAACUUCGUG
This 492-nucleotide ribosomal RNA is filed under the name uncultured bacterium. RNAcentral describes it as "partial 16S ribosomal RNA". It matches the Rfam family "Bacterial small subunit ribosomal RNA", at positions 29 to 507 of the family's 1533-position model. The record is from RNAcentral.